Molecule: long non-coding RNA, 750 nt
Organism: Octodon degus (degu)
Lineage: Eukaryota; Metazoa; Chordata; Mammalia; Rodentia; Octodontidae
Exons: 4
Source: RefSeq, a predicted model, not a curated record
CAUCGGAGGGGCAGGUCCUACUAGACUGGGUUACACCAGGCAGAGUCCAGGGCUGCCCUGUCUUCCCCCCUGUACCCAGGGGUGCCCAAGGAAGAAAGGAACUGCCACAUGGCCUCUAGCGCUCGAAUUUCGGUACUGCUGUACAUACAGAAGGCUCUCCUGACACAGCAGCGGGGACAGAAAAAAAAGUUUUAAAUCCACAAGAUCAGAUGCAACGGAACAGGCGUCCCAGGAGGGGAUGGUGGCAUGCAGGAGCAGCAGAGGGACAGUUGGCCAUGCACAGAGGAGAAGGUGGUGUGAAGACAGAGCAGAGAUGGCUGAAGGCCCUGGCCUUGGAAUGAUGUGGCCACAAGCCAAUGGGAGCUAGCUGCGACUGGAAGCCAGAAGAGGCAAGGAACAGAUUCUCUCCAAUUUGGGCCUCGCAAUACUGAUUUCAGACUUCAGACCCGCAGAAUGACAGCGCCUGCCACCCAGCGCCUCACUGUGAGUCACAGGCACUCUGGGAAGCUUCACGUGGAAUCUGAGAACUUGGAGAACUUGGAGAAGGAUGGUUGUGGCAUGGAGAGCGAACAUGGGCCUCCCCACGUUCCCGAAGACCACGGAGGCCUCGCAGAGCCGAGAUCCGGUGCUGUCAGCCCUUACCUGCUGGCCCGGUGACAGCACAGCACACCAUAGGGCCUGGUCACGUGUCAGUGACCAUGUACUGGUGGCCAGGUCCUCAGCUGUGUCUGCACACAGAAGAAAAUCCAG